Regulatory RNA element from Cavia porcellus (domestic guinea pig), 32 nucleotides. It matches the Rfam family "Iron response element I". Lineage: Eukaryota; Metazoa; Chordata; Mammalia; Rodentia; Caviidae. The record is from Rfam.
CUGUCUCUUGCUUCAACGUUUGGACAAAACAG